UUUCAUCAAAGGGACUAUAGUUUAGUUGGAUAUAACGACCGGCUACGAACCGGUAGGUCUCAGG
This 64-nucleotide transfer RNA is filed under the name Dictyostelium discoideum. RNAcentral's name for it is "tRNA-Arg". The record is from RNAcentral. Lineage: Eukaryota; Evosea; Eumycetozoa; Dictyosteliales; Dictyosteliaceae.